GGAAACGAUGGAAGCUUGCUUCCAGGCGUCGAGUGGCGGACGGGUGAGUAACGCGUAGGAAUCUGCCUGAUAGUGGGGGAUAGCCCGGAGAAAUCCGGAUUAAUACCGCAUAGUCUAUUCGUAGUAAAGGGGGCCUCUAUUUAUAAGCUCUCGCUAUCAGAUGAGCCUGCGUCAGAUUAGCUUGUUGGUGAGGUAAAAGCUCACCAAGGCAACGAUCUGUAGCUGGUCUGAGAGGAUGAUCAGCCACACUGGGACUGAGACACGGCCCAGACUCCUACGGGAGGCAGCAGUGGGGAAUAUUGGACAAUGGGGGCAACCCUGAUCCAGCAAUGCCGCGUGUGUGAAGAAGGCCUGAGGGUUGUAAAGCACUUUCAAUUGUGAAGAAAGGUUAAUAGUUAAUACCUAUUGACUGUGACGUUAACUUUAGAAGAAGCACCGGCUAACUCCGUGCCAGCAGCCGCGGUAAUACGGAGAGUGCAAGCGUUAAUCGGAAUUACUGGGCGUAAAGCGUGCGUAGGUGGUUGUUUAAGUCAGAUGUGAAAGCCCCGGGCUUAACCUGGGAACUGCAUUUGAAACUGGAUAACUAGAGUAUAGUAGAGGAAAGUAGAAUUUCUGGUGUAGCGGUGAAAUGCGUA
Molecule: ribosomal RNA, 635 nt
Filed under: uncultured Gammaproteobacteria bacterium
Lineage: Bacteria; Pseudomonadati; Pseudomonadota; Gammaproteobacteria
Description: bacterial SSU rRNA
Rfam family: Bacterial small subunit ribosomal RNA
Source: RNAcentral